CGCUGGCGGCGUGCCUAAUACAUGCAAGUCGAGCGGAUCAUUUCAGAAGCUUGCUUCUGAAAUGGUUAGCGGCGGACGGGUGAGUAACACGUAGGCAACCUGCCUGCAAGAUCGGGAUAACAUUCGGAAACGAAUGCUAAUACCGGAUACACAAUUUGGCCGCAUGGUUGAAUUGGGAAAGGCGGAGCAAUCUGCCGCUUGUAGAUGGGCCUGCGGCGCAUUAGCUAGUUGGUGAGGUAACGGCUCACCAAGGCGACGAUGCGUAGCCGACCUGAGAGGGUGAUCGGCCACACUGGGACUGAGACACGGCCCAGACUCCUACGGGAGGCAGCAGUAGGGAAUCUUCCGCAAUGGACGAAAGUCUGACGGAGCAACGCCGCGUGAGUGAUGAAGGUUUUCGGAUCGUAAAGCUCUGUUGCCAGGGAAGAACAGCGAGGAGAGUAACUGCUCUUCGCGUGACGGUACCUGAGAAGAAAGCCCCGGCUAACUACGUGCCAGCAGCCGCGGUAAUACGUAGGGGGCAAGCGUUGUCCGGAAUUAUUGGGCGUAAAGCGCGCGCAGGCGGGCUUGUAAGUUUAGUGGUUAAAGCUCGGAGCUUAACUCCGAUUCGCACUUGAAAACUUGCAAAGCUUUGAGUUCC
Molecule: ribosomal RNA, 640 nt
Filed under: uncultured bacterium
Lineage: Bacteria
Description: bacterial SSU rRNA
Rfam family: Bacterial small subunit ribosomal RNA
Source: RNAcentral